GUUAUAUGGUCAAGUGAAGAAGCGCAUACGGUGGAUGCCUUGGCAGUCAGAGGCGAUGAAAGACGUGGUAGCCUGCGAAAAGCUUCGGGGAGUCGGCAAACAGACUUUGAUCCGGAGAUCUCUGAAUGGGGGAACCCACCUAGGAUAACCUAGGUAUCUUGUACUGAAUCCAUAGGUGCAAGAGGCGAACCAGGGGAACUGAAACAUCUAAGUACCCUGAGGAAAAGAAAUCAACCGAGAUUCCCUUAGUAGUGGCGAGCGAACGGGGAUUAGCCCUUAAGCUUCAUUGAUUUUAGCGGAACGCUCUGGAAAGUGCGGCCAUAGUGGGUGAUAGCCCCGUACGCGAAAGGAUCUUUGAAGUGAAAUCGAGUAGGACGGAGCACGAGAAACUUUGUCUGAACAUGGGGGGACCAUCCUCCAAGGCUAAAUACUACUGACUGACCGAUAGUGAACCAGUACCGUGAGGGAAAGGCGAAAAGAACCCCGGAGAGGGGAGUGAAAUAGAACCUGAAACCGUAUGCGUACAAGCAGUGGGAGCCUACUUGUUAGGUGACUGCGUACCUUUUGUAUAAUGGGUCAGCGACUUAUAUUCAGUGGCAAGCUUAACCGUAUAGGGUAGGCGUAGCGAAAGCGAGUCUUAAUAGGGCGUUUAGUCGCUGGGUAUAGACCCGAAACCGGGCGAUCUAUCCAUGAGCAGGUUGAAGGUUAGGUAACACUGACUGGAGGACCGAACCCACUCCCGUUGAAAAGGUAGGGGAUGACUUGUGGAUCGGAGUGAAAGGCUAAUCAAGCUCGGAGAUAGCUGGUUCUCCUCGAAAGCUAUUUAGGUAGCGCCUCAUGUAUCACUCUGGGGGGUAGAGCACUGUUUCGGCUAGGGGGUCAUCCCGACUUACCAAACCGAUGCAAACUCCGAAUACCCAGAAGUGCCGAGCAUGGGAGACACACGGCGGGUGCUAACGUCCGUCGUGAAAAGGGAAACAACCCAGACCGCCAGCUAAGGUCCCAAAGUUGUGGUUAAGUGGUAAACGAUGUGGGAAGGCUUAGACAGCUAGGAGGUUGGCUUAGAAGCAGCCACCCUUUAAAGAAAGCGUAAUAGCUCACUAGUCGAGUCGGCCUGCGCGGAAGAUGUAACGGGGCUCAAACCACACACCGAAGCUGCGGGUGUCACGUAAGUGACGCGGUAGAGGAGCGUUCUGUAAGCCUGUGAAGGUGAGUUGAGAAGCUUGCUGGAGGUAUCAGAAGUGCGAAUGCUGACAUGAGUAACGACAAUGGGUGUGAAAAACACCCACGCCGAAAGACCAAGGGUUCCUGCGCAACGUUAAUCGACGCAGGGUUAGUCGGUUCCUAAGGCGAGGCUGAAAAGCGUAGUCGAUGGGAAACAGGUUAAUAUUCCUGUACUUCUGGUUACUGCGAUGGAGGGACGGAGAAGGCUAGGCCAGCUUGGCGUUGGUUGUCCAAGUUUAAGGUGGUAGGCUGAAAUCUUAGGUAAAUCCGGGGUUUCAAGGCCGAGAGCUGAUGACGAGUCGUCUUUUAGAUGACGAAGUGGUUGAUGCCAUGCUUCCAAGAAAAGCUUCUAAGCUUCAGGUAACCAGGAACCGUACCCCAAACCGACACAGGUGGUCGGGUAGAGAAUACCAAGGCGCUUGAGAGAACUCGGGUGAAGGAACUAGGCAAAAUGGCACCGUAACUUCGGGAGAAGGUGCGCCGGCUAGGGUGAAGGAUUUACUCCGUAAGCUCUGGCUGGUCGAAGAUACCAGGCCGCUGCGACUGUUUAUUAAAAACACAGCACUCUGCAAACACGAAAGUGGACGUAUAGGGUGUGACGCCUGCCCGGUGCCGGAAGGUUAAUUGAUGGGGUUAGCGCAAGCGAAGCUCUUGAUCGAAGCCCCGGUAAACGGCGGCCGUAACUAUAACGGUCCUAAGGUAGCGAAAUUCCUUGUCGGGUAAGUUCCGACCUGCACGAAUGGCGUAACGAUGGCGGCGCUGUCUCCACCCGAGACUCAGUGAAAUUGAAAUCGCUGUGAAGAUGCAGUGUAUCCGCGGCUAGACGGAAAGACCCCGUGAACCUUUACUGUAGCUUUGCACUGGACUUUGAGCCUGCUUGUGUAGGAUAGGUGGGAGGCUUUGAAGCGUGGACGCCAGUUCGCGUGGAGCCAUCCUUGAAAUACCACCCUGGCAUGCUUGAGGUUCUAACUCUGGUCCGUAAUCCGGAUCGAGGACAGUGUAUGGUGGGCAGUUUGACUGGGGCGGUCUCCUCCUAAAGAGUAACGGAGGAGUACGAAGGUGCGCUCAGACCGGUCGGAAAUCGGUCGCAGAGUAUAAAGGCAAAAGCGCGCUUGACUGCGAGACAGACACGUCGAGCAGGUACGAAAGUAGGUCUUAGUGAUCCGGUGGUUCUGUAUGGAAGGGCCAUCGCUCAACGGAUAAAAGGUACUCCGGGGAUAACAGGCUGAUACCGCCCAAGAGUUCAUAUCGACGGCGGUGUUUGGCACCUCGAUGUCGGCUCAUCACAUCCUGGGGCUGAAGCCGGUCCCAAGGGUAUGGCUGUUCGCCAUUUAAAGUGGUACGCGAGCUGGGUUUAGAACGUCGUGAGACAGUUCGGUCCCUAUCUGCCGUGGACGUUUGAGAUUUGAGAGGGGCUGCUCCUAGUACGAGAGGACCGGAGUGGACGAACCUCUGGUGUUCCGGUUGUCACGCCAGUGGCAUUGCCGGGUAGCUAUGUUCGGAAAAGAUAACCGCUGAAAGCAUCUAAGCGGGAAACUUGCCUCAAGAUGAGAUCUCACUGGGAACU
This 2791-nucleotide ribosomal RNA is filed under the name Pseudomonas aeruginosa. RNAcentral describes it as "bacterial LSU rRNA". It matches the Rfam family "Bacterial large subunit ribosomal RNA". Lineage: Bacteria; Pseudomonadati; Pseudomonadota; Gammaproteobacteria; Pseudomonadales; Pseudomonadaceae. The record is from RNAcentral.